RNAcentral lists this ribosomal RNA (464 nucleotides) under Vreelandella stevensii. RNAcentral's name for it is "partial 16S ribosomal RNA". It matches the Rfam family "Bacterial small subunit ribosomal RNA", at positions 338 to 795 of the family's 1533-position model. The record is from RNAcentral. Lineage: Bacteria; Pseudomonadati; Pseudomonadota; Gammaproteobacteria; Oceanospirillales; Halomonadaceae.
CCUACGGGGUGCUGCAGUGGGGAAUAUUGGACAAUGGGCGAAAGCCUGAUCCAGCCAUGCCGCGUGUGUGAAGAAGGCCUUCGGGUUGUAAAGCACUUUCAGUGGGGAAGAAAGCCUUGGGGCUAAUACCCUCGAGGAAGGACAUCACCCACAGAAGAAGCACCGGCUAACUCCGUGCCAGCAGCCGCGGUAAUACGGAGGGUGCGAGCGUUAAUCGGAAUUACUGGGCGUAAAGCGCGCGUAGGCGGUCUGAUAAGCCGGUUGUGAAAGCCCCGGGCUCAACCUGGGAACGGCAUCCGGAACUGUCAGGCUAGAGUGCAGGAGAGGAAGGUAGAAUUCCCGGUGUAGCGGUGAAAUGCGUAGAGAUCGGGAGGAAUACCAGUGGCGAAGGCGGCCUUCUGGACUGACACUGACGCUGAGGUGCGAAAGCGUGGGUAGCAAACAGGAUUAGAUACCCUUUAGUC